GUGGAUGUAGCUCAGCUGGUUAGAGCACCGGAUUGUGGUUCCGGGGGUCGUGGGUUCAAAUCCCAUCAUCCACCCCA
RNAcentral lists this transfer RNA (77 nucleotides) under Trueperaceae bacterium. RNAcentral describes it as "tRNA-His". It matches the Rfam family "tRNA". Rfam says of the family: Transfer RNA (tRNA) molecules are approximately 80 nucleotides in length. Their secondary structure includes four short double-helical elements and three loops (D, anti-codon, and T loops). The record is from RNAcentral. Lineage: Bacteria; Thermotogati; Deinococcota; Deinococci; Trueperales; Trueperaceae.